Acanthosepion pharaonis is the source of this 113-nucleotide non-coding RNA. NCBI's taxonomy places the organism in Eukaryota, Metazoa, Mollusca, Cephalopoda, Sepiida, Sepiidae. The record is from the annotation of a GenBank genome assembly.
UACGUCCAUAUCACGUUGAAACACCGGAUUUCGUACGAUCAUUGAAAUUAAGCAACAUCGAGCCUGGUCAGUGCCGAGAUGAGUGACCGCAUGGUAGUACCAAUUGCUGCAAG